UGGAAUGAGUCUUCGCCCAAAAGCCAUUUGGAUCAUGCUUUCAAGUGGCGCCCAAGGAUGGGGCCGCGACUGAUCAGGUUGUUGGUGAGGUAAUGGCCCACCAAGCCUAUAACCGGUGCGGGCCGUGAGAGCGGGAGCCCGGAGAUGGGCACUGAGACAAGGGCCCAGGUCCUACGGGGCGCAGCAGUCGCGAAAACUUUGCAAUACACGAAAGUGUGACAGGGUCAUCCCGAGUGCCGACCGCUGAGGUUGGCUUUUACCCAGUCUAGAAAGCUGGGGGAAUAAGGAGAGGGCAAGUCUGGUGUCAGCCGCCGCGGUAAUACCAGCUCUCCGAGUGGUGUGGACGUUUAUUGGGCCUAAAGCAUCCGUAGCUGGCUGAACAAGUCCCCUGUUAAACCCACCGAUUUAAUCGUUGGCUUGCGGGGGAUACUGCUCGGCUAGGGGACGAGAGAGGCAGACGGUAUUCCCGGGGUAGGGGUGAAAUCCUAUAAUCCCGAGAAGACCACCAGUGGCGAAGGCUGUCUGCUAGAACGCGCCCGACGGUGAGGGAUGAAAGCUGGGGGAGCGAACCGGAUUAGAUACCCGGGUAGUCCCAGCUGUAAACGAUGCAGACUAGGUGUUUGGACGGCCACGUGCCGUUCUAGUGCCGCAGGGAAGCUGUUAAGUCUGCCGCCUGGGGAGUACGAUCGCAAGAUUGAAACUUAAAGGAAUUGGCGGGGGAGCACCACAAGGGGUGAAGCUUGCGGUUUAAUUGGAGUCAACGCCGGG
Molecule: ribosomal RNA, 768 nt
Filed under: uncultured archaeon
Lineage: Archaea
Description: bacterial SSU rRNA
Rfam family: Archaeal small subunit ribosomal RNA
Source: RNAcentral